UAAUACCUGAUAUUAUGAUUUUAGGGCAUCCUAAGAUUAUGAAAGCUAUAUGUGCUGUGAGAGAGCUUUGCGUCCCAUUAGCUAGUUGGAGAGGUAACGGCUCACCAAGGCGAUGAUGGGUAGCCGGCCUGAGAGGGUGAACGGCCACAAGGGGACUGAGACACGGCCCUUACUCCUACGGGAGGCAGCAGUGGGGAAUAUUGGACAAUGGACCAAAAGUCUGAUCCAGCAAUUCUGUGUGCACGAUGACGUUUUUCGGAAUGUAAAGUGCUUUCAGUUGGGAAGAAAAAAAUGACGGUACCAACAGAAGAAGUGACGGCUAAAUACGUGCCAGCAGCCGCGGUAAUACGUAUGUCACAAGCGUUAUCCGGAUUUAUUGGGCGUAAAGCGCGUCUAGGUGGUUAUGUAAGUCUGAUGUGAAAAUGCAGGGCUCAACUCUGUAUUGCGUUGGAAACUGUAUGACUAGAGUACUGGAGAGGUAAGCGGAACUACAAGUGUAGAGGUGAAAUUCGUAGAUAUUUGUAGGAAUGCCGAUGGGGAAGCCAGCUUACUGGACAGAUACUGACGCUAAAGCGCGAAAGCGUGGGUAGCAAACAGGAUUAGAUACCCUGGUAGUCCACGCCGUAAACGAUGAUUACUAGGUGUUGGGGGUCGAACCUCAGCGCCCAAGCUAACGCGAUAAGUAAUCCCGCCUGGGGAGU
This 701-nucleotide ribosomal RNA is filed under the name uncultured Fusobacterium sp. Its description in RNAcentral is "bacterial SSU rRNA". It matches the Rfam family "Bacterial small subunit ribosomal RNA", at positions 164 to 881 of the family's 1533-position model. The record is from RNAcentral. Lineage: Bacteria; Fusobacteriati; Fusobacteriota; Fusobacteriia; Fusobacteriales; Fusobacteriaceae.